This 253-nucleotide ribosomal RNA is filed under the name uncultured bacterium. RNAcentral describes it as "partial 16S ribosomal RNA". It matches the Rfam family "Bacterial small subunit ribosomal RNA", at positions 524 to 776 of the family's 1533-position model. The record is from RNAcentral.
UACAGAGGUCCCAAGCGUUGUUCGGAUUCACUGGGCGUAAAGGGCGCGUAGGUGGUGGGGUAAGUCGGAUGUGAAAUCUCCGAGCUCAACUCGGAAAUGGCAUUGGAAACUACCCUGCUUGAGGGUCGGAGGGGGGACUGGAAUGCUUGGUGUAGCAGUGAAAUGCGUAGAUAUCAAGCGGAACACCAGUGGCGAAGGCGAGUCCCUGGACGACUCCUGACACUGAGGCACGAAAGCUAGGGGAGCAAACAGG